Non-coding RNA from Sus scrofa (pig), 1858 nucleotides. NCBI's taxonomy places the organism in Eukaryota, Metazoa, Chordata, Mammalia, Artiodactyla, Suidae. The record is from RefSeq and is a predicted model, not a curated record.
GACUUCACUGUGUAUGAGCAUCACUCCUUAUGAUCAUAAGGUCUACCCCUGUCCUAGCCGGUGGCAGUGGUUCACUCUUUCUUAGGGGUAUAAUGGUCAUAUUAUUACACCUGGAGCCAGGAUGGAAAAUGCCAAGUAUUUAGUCGGAGUAGAGAAAACUGCUCAGGGUCUCCCCCCCUCCCCUCGAGAAGGUUGUCUGGACAGAGACACUGGGACGAGCCUGGGCCAAGGGUCCCCAGUAGAGAGGAGUCUGGGUGAGAUUCCUGGGCUAGACAUGCAUAAGAGCAUGACCAGCUUAGGGGGCCCAGUCUUUCACGGCACCCUCCCCCCCAAGACUGCACCAGCCACGCACCCAAUCUGGUGUGGGCAGUGGGGACAGCUUUCCCAGGAAGCCUGCAGGGAAAUCUUGGCAGUUGGCUGUGGUUAGCUCUGAAGGACCACUCGCAGAGAUUUCAAGGAUGGUGGGGAAGGAAAUUCCCAGGAAAAGACGUCCACACAGCAAUCCCUCCAGAAGAGGAGAGGGGGGGGUAUAAGGGUCUAAAAAAUUAUGUAGCAGGGAGUGGUUUUCAGAAACCCUGCAAAAUCGCACCCCUUCCUCUCCUGAGUCUGCCACCAGGUAGAUCUUCAGCUUGUUUCUCACCCUCAGCAUUUUCUCCUCAGAUGCAACAUCUACAGUGUCUUCCAAAUGGAGGACACAUGCUUUGUCGCAGUCAGGCUUCUAGCAGAAAAUAGAAAGUGCAUUCCCAUGGGGUUAUUAAGAGUCUGCACAGCCGAUUGGGAAGCAUUAGGGGAAGUCCUGAAGGAGGCAAAGGCUCCCAGAGUCUAUCAAAGUAGAAGAGGAACCGUUAUCACCGAGCCUGAGAAGUGAGAGGAAAUAAAGUCCAGAUGAUACCAGGGUUCAGUUGGAGAGCUGUGGUGGAGGGGCUGCCCGGCAAAAGUCAGGACUGAUGGAGGAAACAGCUCACUGCAGCAGCAACCACACAGGGAAGGUUGCCUCCCAGCUCCUGCCGGUGCCUCCCACCAUCUAAACUCACCUGGAUUCCAGAGGGUCACAGACUCUGGGAGGUGCAGGCUACGUCCAUCAGUAUCCCAGGGCACAGAGUUGGGAAGGGAAGGGCAGAGGUUGGAUCUGAAGGGGGAAAUGGGAAACACGUCCCUUCUCUCCAGGCUUCAGGUUGGAAGGUGUGGUUGAUGGCCUGAGUUGCUCAGCAUUUUUUUUCUUCCUUCCUCUCUUUCCCUGAGUCCUCUUUGAUGGAAGGUCCACACCUCCUUCCUCCAUGGACUUUGGAGUUUGCAUCCAUUUUGCUUUAUUUCAUGGGACAUCAGCAGAAAAUGCUGUAAAUGCAAAUGGUUCAGGUUACCCUGUGGCCACUUACAUUCCAACCUUACAAAAAUAGGCCUACGAUAGCCACUAGUUCCAAAAUAAUGAGACCAGGUGGAACAGACAUGACUAAGCUUAUGCACUGGGUUCCACUUAGGGUGGUGAUGGCAGUGGGGCAGCCUAAAUCAGCCCCACUUUUGCUGACCUGCAGACUCAUAUGUCGGAAAAUAACAAUUUGUUACAGCAGGGCUUUGGGAUUUAGGUUUGUUACACAGCAUAGUUUAGGUCAGAGCUGACUGAUAGAGAAAAGGAGCAUCUUCUAAGGUGGGGAAAUGUGCUCAGCAAAACCUCUCAAGAAAAUCUGCAGCACAUUGUCUAGAUUCUCGUAUCUUCCAAGAGGAGUGGAAGGAGGGAACUAGCUCUCUUACUGUUCUUUGCAAGUGAACAUAUGAUCUGUAUCCUCCUUUAAAAUUCCAAAUCUAUUGUAUUUUGCACCCUAUUGGACAGUUAAAGUUUCACAUUGUGUUGCCAAUGAUA